This 253-nucleotide ribosomal RNA is filed under the name uncultured bacterium. Its description in RNAcentral is "partial 16S ribosomal RNA". It matches the Rfam family "Bacterial small subunit ribosomal RNA", at positions 524 to 776 of the family's 1533-position model. The record is from RNAcentral.
UACAGAGGUCUCAAGCGUUGUUCGGAUUCAUUGGGCGUAAAGGGUGCGUAGGCGGUCGUGCAAGUCGGAUGUGAAAUCUCAGGGCUCAACCCUGAAACUGCAUUCGAUACUGCGCGGCUAGAGUGCUGGAGGGGAGACUGGAAUUUACGGUGUAGCAGUGAAAUGCGUAGAUAUCGUAAGGAAGACCAGUGGCGAAGGCGAGUCUCUGGACAGCAACUGACGCUGAGGCACGAAGGCCAGGGGAGCAAACGGG